RNAcentral lists this ribosomal RNA (370 nucleotides) under uncultured bacterium. Its description in RNAcentral is "bacterial SSU rRNA". It matches the Rfam family "Bacterial small subunit ribosomal RNA", at positions 28 to 399 of the family's 1533-position model. The record is from RNAcentral.
GACGAACGCUGGCGGCGUGCUUAACACAUGCAAGUCGAGCGGUAAGGCCCUUUCGGGGGUACACGAGCGGCGAACGGGUGAGUAACACGUGGGUGACCUGCCCUCAGCUCUGGGAUAAGCCUGGGAAACUGGGUCUAAUACUGGAUAUGACUCCACGGUGCAUGUCGUGGGGUGGAAAGCCUUGUGCGGCUGAGGAUGGGCCCGCGGCCUAUCAGCUUGUUGGUGGGGUGAUGGCCUACCAAGGCGACGACGGGUAGCCGGCCUGAGAGGGCGACCGGCCACACUGGGACUGAGACACGGCCCAGACUCCUACGGGAGGCAGCAGUGGGGAAUCUUGCGCAAUGGGCGAAAGCCUGACGCAGCGACGCCG